GAAGCUGUGGAACCAUUGUUGCACUACUGGGCCCCAACAGAACCAAGGGGCCAUGGUGACACAGCAGGGCUUCAUGGAACACAAAGACCAUUAUGACACUGUGGGGCCUUUUGGAACCAUGGAGACCAUUAAGAUCCUUAAGCACUUGUGUAACCAAGGGGCCAUUAUGAUGCCACAGGACAUCAUGGAAGCAAGAGAACCACUAUGAUGUUGCAAGACUUCAUGCAAGCAUAGAGCCAUUGUGACACUGAAGGGCCUUAUGGAACCAAGAGAACACAAAAUAGAUCUGGCUGCCUUGGCCUCCCAGGAGUCACCUGACAGGUCUGGCUGACCUUGGAAUGUUGAAGCCCACUCCCAUCUGACCCUGAAACACUGGAGCUCUGGGCUUUCCUUUGUAUGGAAAAGAACUGUCCAUCUUUUCCAGGUAUCCAUUGCCAAAAUUAGGAUUCCACCUCCAAAUUUCUGUGAUCCAAGGAUUGCUGCCAGAGAAAAGCUGCCAGGACAGACAGGAAUGGCUGGUCUUUCACUCCUGAGGGCCAGCAGUCACCUGUUUUCCAAACCCUGGAAAAGGCUCUGUGCUUUUUUUUUUUAAUGAAAAAAAUCAUCCUUUUUCUCGGGGCACAAAUGUCUGAAAGUAGGAUUCCACAUUCAUAAUUUUGAAUAUCCAAGGGUUGCUCCAAGCAAAUCUGCCAGGACAGACAGGUCAGGCUUGCCUUGGCCUCUGGUGGUUGCCAUUCACCAGCUGCUGAAACAUGGGGACUUCGUGGUUUCCUUCCUAUGGAGACCAAUGUGACACUUAGUGGUCUUGUGAAAUGAAGGAGCCAUUGUGACACUGCAGAGCACCAUGGAUCCAAGGGACCAUUGUGACACUGUGGAGCCUUGUGGAACCAAGGACAUCACUGUGGCUCUGUUGGGCCCCAUGGUCCCAAGGGGCCAGUGCAAAGCAGCAGUGUGGGAGUUAGCUCGGCUGUAACUCAGAGUCAGCCAGAUUUUACCCCGAAAGGACCUGGCAUGAGGUUCAAACCCUAGAAUCAUUUAUUUAACUUAGGAUGAGCUUGAGAGAUCUCCCAUAAGCCUUUAGUGUUGUUAUGUCAGGGAAUCAGAGAGGUUUGUCGCAGCCACCUUCACUGCGACAUUUGGCCUCUGAGCAGGGACCCUGACAUUCAGUUACGUCAGCUGGGGUUAGCUGAGAGAUAGGCCAGGCUCCCCAGGACUGUGGAUUGUGCCAGGCCCAGUGGAUUUCCCAUCACUUCGAGGGACCUGAGCCAGCAUUGGUGGGGACGAUGACAGUUUCCUCCUGUGAAGGAUUGCAGGUGGGUUUGGGAAAAUGCAGGACAUUUAUCGCCUAUUUUGCCACUGUGUUUUUAAAAUAUGGAUCCACAUCCCGUAAUUGAUUUGGGGUGUUCUGGUGGCUGUUCCCCCCAAGGCGGAGAAGGAGAAAAAUGGGUGGUCAGUUGUUCCAAAGUAGAAAGGGACCCCAUUGCACCCCGCAUGCUCCCCUUCUUCUACACCCUCCUUGAGACCCUUCACCAACAAGCUGUGUGUCGAAAACCUGAUCCAUCAGUCACUCCUAACCCAGGUACUUCCCUGAAACCAGCCUUUCUUGGACUUUCCAUGAUGGUCCAAGAUGGCAAUGGCCAUGCUGUCUUGGAGCAUUGUGCCCAGGAGACCCAAGAUGGAAUAAGCCUGAAUGUGGCUCAGGAGCCUGGCCAUCCUCCCUCCAUCUUGGCUCCUCCACUUGCUGCUACCACAACCUUCUCUUCCACUCUGAACGAACCUCCAGACUCCACUCCCGUGCCUGCAGGUCACCCUUCCACUGUCAUUCAUUCCACCUCCACCUUGGGCCACCGCUCCAGAAAAUGACAAAAUGGCAGUGCCCUUUACUCACCCUCCGGCAACAAUAUAAACGCCAUGGUCAAGGAUACUAAGCCAAACUCUCACACUAUUUCUAAUCCAAGUGUUUCUGCUCCAAGUUAUUCUUCCUCCCCAGAAGACAGUUUGCAUUCCCCAGAGCCACCUCUCCCCUCAACCCUAGGAGAUCCCUGGGAAAGGAUCUGGAAGGAAGCAGUUAAGGAAGGAGACUGGCAAAUAGUCUUGAAACUCCUCAUUGCCCCAGGACAUGAUGAAAGAAGGGAGCAGAAUCCCAGGUAUCAGCCAUUGGUUUACAGGGAAAUCAAGGAGCUGUGUAGGGCAGCUAAAGACUAUAGGCAGGAUUCACCUUGUUUUAAUGGCAUAAUGAGGGCCAUGUUUACAGCACAUGUAACCACCUAUGAUUUAAAAUAUAUUAUGACCAUGUUUUUAUGUUUUUAUCACCUACAGAAUACACCCUGUGGGAAAGGGGGAUGGAAGUGUUUACUAAAUCAAUUAAUAGCAGACUAUGUGAAUAAUGAGGCAAGGGCGCAAUUGACAAUCAGCCACCUAGCUGUAAAAAGGACAACACAGCCUGCCAGAUGAUCAAGCAGCAGGUAUCCCCAGAGAAGUAUUGGACGAUAUAAAAGAGAUGGCUUUGAAAGCUGUAAUCCAGGUACCGGAUGGAAACACCCCCAGUUUGGACUAUGUAAAUAUAAGACAAGAAUCCAGAGAGCCCUGCAUGAGAUGUAUUGAUUGCCUUAAACAGGCACUAGAGAAACAAGUCCAGGAUGAAAAGACUCAAAAUUAAAUUAAUAAUUACUAAAAUCAUUGGGGG
Long non-coding RNA from Passer domesticus (house sparrow), 2686 nucleotides. RefSeq lists it as uncharacterized. The transcript has 2 exons. NCBI's taxonomy places the organism in Eukaryota, Metazoa, Chordata, Aves, Passeriformes, Passeridae. The record is from RefSeq and is a predicted model, not a curated record.